Long non-coding RNA from Pipra filicauda (Wire-tailed manakin), 2819 nucleotides. RefSeq lists it as uncharacterized. The record is from RefSeq and is a predicted model, not a curated record. The transcript has 5 exons. Lineage: Eukaryota; Metazoa; Chordata; Aves; Passeriformes; Pipridae.
GGCCUCAGCAUUGACUCUGUUGGCUUGUGCAAAACCAGCCCUGCGGGUGUGGUGAAGCCUCCAGUGUGGUGUCCCACAGGAUGGGUGUAGAGCAGCAGCACACGGGGGUAUUUUUGUUGAGCUACAGAUGCAUUUUUAUAUAAAAAUGUGUAAAAAAGCAAAGAUUCCUUAGUAAUCAGUUAAAGCAGUUGGCAUUUUUCACGGAUGUACAGAAAAGAAGUCUCCUUAUUUUAGAGUUCAUUUAAUGAAGCUUAUGGCCAAUCUUAUUCUUUUCAUAAUGAAGCCUUGCUGUAAUCCCACCUCUGCUCUCCUAAAUUCCUCAGUUCAAACGUGGAGAUAGCAGUUAAAAUUAAAUGCUACUUCAUGGAAACCACCAGUUCUCUUAUUCCUGAGAAUUUUCAUCCUUGAGCUUCUCGGGCUAAUGAUAAAUAGCUGAUUCCUUCCCUUCCUUGUGCUUUUUCUCCAAACAACAACAUAAAAUUGCUCCGUUAAAUUCCAGUUCAAAUUAAUGGAAGUCUGGGGGAGAAGGAACAGACAAACAAACCAGGAAGUGUUUUAUAUUUGGGUUUUUCGUUUCAUCUCGUGGCAGAUGGGUUUGGUGUUUUUUACAGCCACCUUUUGAAAUCAGUAUGUUAUUUUGUCAUUUCUUUGCAGGAGAGUAACAGCUCUGAAUCUUUAUCAUAUUGAUCGUUUCACAGCCCUUCGUCUGGGGCCCAAGAUAAUACAGAGCAUUGUUAUUGCAUUAUUAUUUUUCAUUUGUAUCCUAUUGAUUUGCUGCCAGUAACUUACAGGUCAAUUUGCAAAAAGAUGGGCUAUGAUUUAUUUUUUUUCUGAAGGAUUAUGCCACGAUGGGAAUGCUUUUAUAAGGCUGUCAGGUCUUUAGGUUUGUUUUUUCUUCUCUUGGGAGUGCAGCACAUUUCUGGGCUGGUGGCACAGUUCCACCUGGAUUUACACCCGGAGUAUCCAUGACUCUCACAUAAUUCAUAUGGAUAAGUGGCUGUACACAAGCCUACCCUUAAAUUGGAAUUUUACUCCCGGGAAAUGGUUCUUUUCUCACUCAGAAAUAACACACAAAGUCAAUAUAGUUACACUGAUGUAAAAGAGAGGGGAGAGGAGACUUUAUCUGUCUGAACACAACAAGCUCCCAAGGUUUAACACCCCCAAAUGGCAGGUGCUAAAAACAGACAUGAAAAAUUAUUUUUGGUACCAUCUUUUUUGUUUGCCAUAGUAACAACAGUUUACUACCAAGUAGUAGUAGUCCAGUUACUAACAACUUGGUACUCAGAAGGCCCACUUUUGAAACAAAAUAAGGACUCUUAACCAAAUGUUUUCCUUAUUUAUAUUUGACUUACCAUCAUUAGAAUGUAGAUACUAGGAAAGCAUGGAUUAUAACAGUAUGCAAAAUUGCACAAGUACUUUUAAUUCCUUCUGUAUAAAACUCCUGCUACAUAAUUUACACAGGGCAAGUUUUUUAAUUACUCAGUGCAAAAUGUGUUAAAUGCAGUAGCUGAUGUAUACAUCCACCGUGAUUUGUACUAUUAUUUUUCCCUGGAACCCAUCCAGGUAAAUCAAACCCACAGUGAGGGACUUCCAGUUCAUGUUCUGCUUACAGUGUAUUGAAUUUUCCUGGCACCCUUUCAGCAGGAGCAAUUUGACAAGAGAAUUUUUUUUGGUAGCACUGAAUACCUUUUUCUGCCAGUGAAUAUUUUCCUGUUUGGAAUUGGUGUGAUGCUUUAUACUGGACUGUGGUACAGAACUGGGUGCUGAUGUUAAACCAUCCUCUUACCAGCUCAGGUCACUGGAAUAACCUUCUCAGUGUGGGAAAUUUUAUUCUAAAUUGUAGAUCAUUGAUGGAGCUCAAAGCGAGACACAGCCCAAUUAAAUUUCUCAUUCAUAUUGUGUCCCAUGACAAGAAAAUUAUCAAGUAGCUGAAUUGAUGCCCUUAUGUUGUAGGAAUAUUUCAAAGAAUGUUUUAAUGUUUUCUUCUCUUACUUGCCCAGGUUUUGCUUCACAUUUUGACACCAUUAGGUGUCUAAUACAACUGUACUAGACGGGAGUGAGGUCAAAUGAGAUUUCCUGCUUGAAAUGGACAUGUGAAGUCACAAAAUGUGCUCAAUACUAUACAGUGCCUGAGUUAAGAGGUGGCUGUUAUCACAGAUAUCAAGCUCUUCUGGAAGUUCUCUGUUUCCUGCACUGUUUCUGGUUUGGUGCAGCCCUGGACAAUGUCAGGGAUGUGGUGUCACCACUUGAAGAUCUCAGGAAGGACAAAUCAAUUUUGAAGGACUGAUAACUCCAGGCUUUGUGACGGACCAAAUCCUUGCUCUCCCCAGUUCCUUGGAGCUGAAGGUGCUCACCCACACUGACAGUUUAGACCCCCUGGCAUCGCGCCGAGGAGCUGCGGAACCAGAGUUCCGGGCCCAGCUUGGGCCCAGCUGGGUGGCCAUCACUCGCCCUCCCAGGGUCCCCGCGGUGAAGGCUCUGUGAGGGCCGCGGCUGCGGGGGCCACACAGACGUCACCGCCGUUGGGAUGGAUCCAUAGGGAUGUGUGUCCCUUGUGACUGAUGCCGGGGACAUGACUGCCGUGCGGGAUGGGCCUGUCUCUGGGUUUGGGGCUCGGGGCUCUGGAAUCCCGCGGCUCUGCCGGGGCGGGGCGAGGGGCGGGGCGGAGGCUCCGGAACGCGGGGCUGGGGCAGCGAUCCACCUAUCCUAUUUAAUGGAGGUACUGCCGUCAUUGUCACUGCCGUCAGUAUUGUGUGUUGUCAUUGAUAUUACACUGUCAUAUUUGUCUUGCUGUCCAUUAUUAAACUGUUCUGAUCUCA